RNAcentral lists this long non-coding RNA (6677 nucleotides) under Homo sapiens (human). RNAcentral describes it as "non-protein coding lnc-CYS1-1:9". The record is from RNAcentral. Lineage: Eukaryota; Metazoa; Chordata; Mammalia; Primates; Hominidae.
GUGAUCGGAGCCUGGCCGCGGCGUGAUCGGGCAGGGCGGGACGCGGCACGUGUUUUGGUCGGAGCGAGGGGCGGGGCCUGAGGCCCUGGAAAACAGCAUUCCUUCUGCGUGGAACAUGCCAACCCUCGUCUGCUUUGACUUUGCAAAACUGCAUGAGACCGCCGGGCGCGGUGGCUCACGCCUGUAAUCCCAGCACUUCAAGAGGCCGAGGCAGACAGAUCACCUGAGGUCAGGAGUUUGAGGCCAGCCUGGCCAGCAUGGUGAAACCCCGUCUCUACUAAAAAUACAAAAAAUCAGCCAGUAAUCCUAGCUACUCGGGAGGCUGAGGCAGGAGAAUCGCUUGAACCCAGGAAGCAGAGGUUGCAGUGAGCCGAGGUCAUGCCAUUGCACUCCAGCCUGGGCUACAAGAGUGAAACUCCGUCUCAAAAAAGAAAAAAAAAAAGAAAAAAAGACUGCAUAUGACUCCCCAGUGAAGCCCUCCCUGAUUGGCCUCUGCAGAAGGCAGCAUGCCCGGGCUUUGGAGUCAGACCUGCAUACAAAUCCUUGUUUUGCCGGUGUGACCUUGCCAAGUCUUCUUUCCUGCAGGACAGAAGGCGGCAGCAGCUCUCCCUGAACUGGCACUCUGGCUUCUCUUGCCCCAGGGUCUGUUUCUGCUCCUUGGACAGCAGGCGCAUGUGGGAACUGUGCCCUCUUCAGCCAUGAGCCCCUGUUCUGCGCACAUCUAGCCCAUCUUCCAGAUGGACAGACAGUCUGUGGUCGUCGCCAAACCCCUGAAUCUGGCCCUGCCCGCAGUCAGAGGGAUGGCAAUUUGUAAGCUACAGACUAUUGCGAAUCAUUCACUUGGAGACUGAACUAAGACUACUGGCACCAGGCUCCGUAGACCCUCGGGAAGAGCAUGGUCUGGCAGGCAGACUGGAUGUGGCCACAGAUAACAUCCCCUAAGGGGAGAGCGUGAGCCUGCAGGCCAGAAUGCCACCACUUUCUCCUGUGUCGUUCCAGAGAGAGCCUGUGGCUAUGCACGCUUGCUGCUACAGAGGGUAGUGCUGUAUACCUCCUGGGCUCACUUACUGACUUUUCAGUCUAAGGGCUUAUUGCAAUUGGUACAUAACGAUCAUACUUUGUAAUGGUUAAGUAAUAUUCCAUCAUAUGGAUGUGUUGUUUAUUUAACAUUCUGGUUGAAUAACCAAGACUUUUAGGUUUCCAGUUUUCCAGGAACAUCAUGCCCCUCCAUCAUUUGCCCACCUGGAAGGAUAACUACAGGAUAAGCAGCUCUUAGAACUGGAAUUGCUGAGUUAACUGCUCUGUGCAUUUCCUUGCUUUUUCUUGCUUUUCUUUUCUUUCUUUUAUUAUUUUUUUGGGUAAAUUUUUAUUGAACUAUAGCAUAGCGUAGAUACAGGAAAGUGUAAAAACUUAAAUGUACAAUUCAAUGAAUUUUCGCUAGGCAAACACUGUGUCACCAGCACCCAGAUUUAGAAACAGAAUAUUACCAGAAUCCCAAAAGCCCCAUGAGCUGCCGUCCAGUCACUACUUACCGUUUCCCUGAUCCCCUGCAUAGGAUAAUCCUUAUCAUGGCUUCUGACACUUUCGGUUGGUUUUGGAUGUACUGACACUUUUUGUGUGUGUGUGACACUUUUAUAAUACAAAGAAAAUCAUACAGUAUGUUCAGUUUGGGGUCUGGCUUCUUUCACUCAGUGUGUUGUUGUGGGCAGUUGGAGUUUGUUUAUUCUCAUUCUUCUGUUCUCUUUCUCUUUGGUUGAGUUUACUGGGCUGGAAGCAGUACAAGGACCAGAAUAUGCUGUGAGCUGACCAGCCACUGGGCUGGCUGGCUGGUUGACAAAUGAUCUAACAAAUGGUUGACAAAAUGGAUGGAUGAAUGAAUCACAGACCCACUAAUCCACUGACCUGUUCAAUGCCUGACUGGAAAUUGAGUGUCCAUUCCUCCCAACACCCCAGGGCCCCUGUCUCCCUUUGCUAGGGGCACUCAUGAUGGUGAGCAGAGAGGUCUGUAGGUGUAGCUGAGGCACAGAUCAUCCAGGUCAACCUGCGUAUUUUAGAUGGGGAAACUCAGGCCUAGCAACUUCACACAAAGCCACUUUGCUCAGGGGAAAAAUCAUCAUGACGCUGUGUCUGAUGUGGUUGAGGUACGAAGGAGGACCAGGUCAGAAGACGUUUAUUAAAUACCAAAAGUAGGCCAAGUGUCAUGCUAGGGGCUAGCUCUUCAUGCCUUUUGAUUCCCUGAUUUCAGCCCCAUUUAUAGAUGAAGUCACUGAGGGACGAGAGGUGAAGCCACUUGCCCGUCAUUGUCGGCCAGUGAGUGGAGGGCCCGGGAUCCAUCCCUCCAGCUCGGGUCCAGUGCUGCUUUGUCCCAGCUGCCUGCCCCUGGAAAAGAGGCUGCUAAGAGCACGUGCUGAGUCCUUGUAAGCUGGCCCAGAGUCGGGGGCUGUGGGCAGCUCCCACCAGGCACAAAAGGGGGUGCUCAGUCCCAUCACUCCAGGGAGGGUGAGGAGGCCAGUGCAGUUUGUUCCUGCUGUGGCUGCCAUACCCCUCCCCACACUGGACACACCUCCUGCCACGUGGUUCUGGCUGCCUCAGUGGCUGCACUCGGCCUUCUUUCUGUGUCUCCAGGCUGCGCUACAACCUCACUGUGUGAUACGUCUUCAAACCUCCCAAGAGGGAGAACCAGGUUGGCUUAGGCUUUUAGGCUCAGAGUAGGGGGGCCACAUGGCCCAAUCUGCAACUUUUGCCAAAGGAAAGCCCCAGAAUGGGGCUAUGGGUGUAGUGGGCCCUGAAAGCUUCUUUGAGGACAUGGGCACUUGGCAGGGGCCUUGCAGAGGCUGGGCUAGUACAGUCUAUGUUGGGGAAUGGGACCCCUUGGUGCUCAGGGCUGUGGGACCGUGGAGGAACAGGAGCCACCCUCGGCCCUUCCCAUCCCUACUGUUCAGCAGGAAACUGACUCACAAACAAUGGUACAUCCUAUAUACCAAGAGCCGUGCUGGCACAGGCGUCGGGGGAAGAGGUGGGACCCGAUUACUCGUGUCUGAGGAACUGGUGGGAGGGCUGGUCUGGGACAGUGCCCAAAGAAGACAUCAUUUGAGCUGGGUGUUAAGGACAGCUAGGAGGUAGCCACCCAGGAAACAGAGGUGCCCUUUUGGUACCAGCUUCAUACCUCGUCCGCCUUUGCAUUCUCCAGCUCUUGGCACAAGCCCCUCCUAUGCGGUGGGUGCCCAGUGAAUUGAAAUAAGCCUAGGAAGACGCUUAGGCCUUUGUCCAGGCCAGUGGUUCUCCAGCAUGAGCCCAGAAGGCGCGUUAAAACACGGAUUGCCGGGCCUACCCACUGGCUGCUGACUGAGCAGGUCUUCCUGGGGUCUGUGAAUCUGCAUGUCUUUUUUUUUUUUUUUUUGAGACGGAGUCUUGCUCUGUUACCCAAGCUGGAAUGCAAUGGCAUCAUCUCAGUUCACUGCAACCUCCACUGCCUGGACUCAAGCAAUUUUCUCGCCUCAGCCUCCCGAGUAGCUGAGAUUACAAAUGCCCACCACCAUGCCCGGCUAAUUUUUGUAUUUUUAGUAGAGACAGGAGUUCGCCGUGUUGGCCAGGCUGGUCUCGAACUCCUGACCUCAGGUGAUCUGCUGGCCUCGGCUUCCCUAAGUGCUGAGAUUACAGGCGUGAGCCACUGCUCCUGGCCAAAUAUGCAUGUCUAAUAAGUUCCCAGAUGUUGUUGACACCACUGGUCCAGGAAUCGCGGCAGUGAGAACCACUGAUUUAGUCCAAUCUCUGCAUCUUACAGAAAGGGAAAUGGAGACACAGAGAACAGAAGCAGCCUGUCCUAGUUACUCAAAGUGUGGGCAGAGGAAUGACUGGAUGCCCUGCCUCCAGACUCACGCUGAGUCCCACCCCGAACCACACUGCAGUGCCACCCUGCCACCUCUUGGACAGAGUGCCCCAGGAGCAGCCCCAGAAGAAAGCCUCAGGAGGCCAGCAUGUCUCUGGGCAACAGAACAAACCGCCGACUGGCCUGGGAGGGCAGGCUUCCAAGGGUCCUCGUGGCUACCCAGCCCAUCUGCUCAGCCAACUGCUUGCAUCUGGAACUCCAGUUUAAUCAUGAAAAAAACAUCUGACAAACCCAAAUGGAGGAACACCCACAAAAUGCCUCGUCACUGCUUUUCAAAAGGGCCAAGGUCAUGAAAACCGAGAAAGAACUGAGAAACCAUCUCACAUCGGAGGAGGCACGAUGGCUAAAUGCACCCCGGUCGCCCUGGACUGGAUCCGGAAAUAGUAAAAGUGCAUUAGUGGAAAACUGGUGAAAUCCACCGAAAGUCUGCAGUUGGUGAUAGUAUUGAAUCAAUGUUAAUCUCAUAGUUUUGACAAAUGCACCACGGUUACGUACGCGAGACGUUAACAUUAGGGGGAACUGCGUGGAGGGUACGUGGUACUGUGUACUAUUUUUGCAAUUUUUGUUUGUUUGUUUUUGAGAUGGAGUUUUGCUUUUGUUGCCCAGGCUGGAGUGCAAUGGCGCAAUCUUGGCUCACCACAAUCUCCGCCUCCCGGGUUCAAGCGAUUCUCCUGCCUCAGCCUCCCGAGUAGCUGGGAUUACAGGCAUGUGCCACCAUGCCCAGCUAAUUUUGUAUUUUUAGUAGAGACGGGGUUUCACCCUGUUGGUCAGGCUGGUCUUGAACUUCCAACCUCAGGUGAUCCGCCCACCUCAGCCUCCCAAAGUGCUGGGAUUACAGGCAUGAGCCGCCGAGUCUGGCCUGUUUGUUUUUUGAGACAGUCUCACUCUGUCACCCAGACUAGAGUGCAAUGGUGCAAUCUCAGCUCACUGCAGCCUCCACCUCCUGGGUUCAAGCGAUUCUCCUUGAGAAUCAGUGCCACCCGACUGGAACACAUCACCUGGCAGCCCAUUCUAGUACAGAGCAACAGCCCCCAUGUCCAGGAAGUCUCUCUUUACUUUUGCCAAAGUUGCCUGUGUUAUCUGCCCCAAGCCAUGCCCCAGAAGUCCUCAAGCUAGGGCUCAGGCCCGCCUUGCUAUCUCCCUUUCAGCACCUAGAUCAGCUCAUUGAGCACGUGGCACCUGCCAGGGAGUCACGCUGAAGCCCAUGCCCCCACAUCAAGGGUCUGUGAGAUGGCAGCCCCAGAGGCUGGCCCAGGGUUCGGGGAGAGGGCCUCUAAGCCCCUCUUCCUCAGGAAGUGCCCCUCACCUUGUCCUGCCCACAGGCAGCAGCAGUGUCGGCCCUGAUGGGCUCUGGCAUUGGGAAGGGGCAGCGGGAAACAGCUCCUCUGUGCAGCCUCCCCAGGGGCUACCCCACAGCCCCACUCCCCGCCUGUGUGCUGCACGCUGGUCACCUUGUUUGCUCUGGGAGCUCCUUUACCAGGGGCUUCCUGAGGCCUCCGGCCCUACUGGUACCUGGAGGCCCCAGCCUCUUGGCUCAGGAGGAGUCCUGGGCUGGGCGUGGUGACUUAACGCUUGUAAUCCCAGCACUUUGGGAGGCCAAGGCUGAAGGAUCAAUUGAGCCCAGGAGUUCAAGAGUAGUCUGGACAAUAUAACAAGACCCUGUCUCUACAAAAAAUUUAAAAAUCAUACAAUUUUUUAAAAAAGUAAAAAGGAGGAGGCCUGAGGGGCUACAGUGGCUGCAGGGUAGCAUGACCACUGGGGCUGCGGAAGCAUUUGCCCUGCGGGAGGAAGCGCUUUCGAGGGGGAAGGUGGCGUGUCUCUGACCCGGCAGCGAACAUGGGGCACCAGAGGGCAGCUUGACCCUGCUCCCAGGUGGAAUCUCUGAACCCUAGUUUCAUCUGCUCUCAGAGCCUGGCCUCCCCUGUCUAAGGCUGCCUGGGUUAGGAGCCUGGCACACACUGGGCUGCUAUACCAGUCUUUUACACACACAUUUACCAGGCACUUUCUCUUUUGCCAUCCCCUCAUGAUCACCCGGCAGGGAUCAUUAUCUGUAGGUGAGUGCAGGCUUAAGAGAGGCUGAGCGGCUUGGCCAGUCCCACAGGCAAUGGUGGCUGAGGCCUCCCCAGGACCCAGGUAUUCUGAGAGAGCCUCACACCGUGGGGCUGGAGGCCAGCAUCUGUCCCAGCCAUGCUAUCCACGCGCAUGCGGGGGGACGGGAAGAGCUCUGGGGCUGCACACAUCUGGGCUGCCAGCGUGUCUUCACCACUCUCUGGCUCUGCACCCCAGGAUUUUGGGGUCAGCACAUGGCGUAGUGGGUAGAGGGGUGCAUCCUGAAGGGUGGACCUCUAAUGCACCUGGCCAGACACCAAAAGGCAGCCGGGGGUGAGUCUCUGAGGAGUGGGCAGCGGGACCAGCACAGUGUGGAGAGGGCAGAGAGAGUGGGGAGGGCGGUGUGGGGCCAAGGGCAGGAGGUUCUGGGCGCAUGUCAGGCUGCUCCUGUCUCACCGAGUAUAAACAGCUCCUUAAAAAUGAACUCCAAAACCCAGCUCACUGGGCCAUUCAUGGCAGGCUAACCUUCGGGGGGUGCCCAGCAUGUCCCAGAGGGGCCUAGGAUGGGAGAGCCCUGUGGCCAGUCUGCAGCCGGUGCCUGCACAAACCUAGGCCUUGUGCUCCCUCUGGCACCUGGGUGAGGCCCCCUCGGGUGGAACACCUGCUAACUGCUCAUUAAAAUACAAGAGUGGGGGAGCUGGGCUUGGUGGCUCACGGCUGUAAUCCCAGCACUUUGGGA